GACGAACGCUGGCGGCGUGCUUAACACAUGCAAGUCGAACGGAAAGGCCCUGCUUUUGUGGGGUGCUCGAGUUGCGAACGGGUGAGUAACCCGUGAGUAACCUGCCCUUGACUUUGGGAUAACUUCAGGAAACUGGGGCUAAUACCGGAUAGGAGCUCCCGCUGCAUGGUGGGGGUUGGAAAGUUUCGGCGGUUGGGGAUGGACUCGCGGCUUAUCAGCUUGUUGGUUGGGUAGUGGCUUACCAAGGCUUUGACGGGUAGCCGGCCUGAGAGGGGGACAGGCCACAUUGGGAUGGAGAUGCGACCCGGACUAGUACGGGAGGCAGCAGUGGGGAAUAUUGCACAGUGGGAGGAAGCCUGGUGCAGCAACGCCGCGUGGGGGAUGACGGCCUUCGGGUUGUAAACCGCUUUCGCCUGUGACGAAGCGUGAGUGACGGUAAUGGGUAAAGAAGCACCGGCUAACUACGUG
RNAcentral lists this ribosomal RNA (468 nucleotides) under uncultured bacterium. RNAcentral's name for it is "partial 16S ribosomal RNA". It matches the Rfam family "Bacterial small subunit ribosomal RNA", at positions 28 to 507 of the family's 1533-position model. The record is from RNAcentral.